This 484-nucleotide ribosomal RNA is filed under the name uncultured bacterium. Its description in RNAcentral is "partial 16S ribosomal RNA". It matches the Rfam family "Bacterial small subunit ribosomal RNA", at positions 30 to 507 of the family's 1533-position model. The record is from RNAcentral.
AUUGAACGCUGGCGGCAGGCCUAACACAUGCAAGUCGAGCGGAUGGAGGGAGCUUUCUCCUGGCUUCAGCUGCGGACGGGUGAGUAAUUCCUAGGAAUCUGCCUGGUAUUUGGGGAUAACGUCCCUAAAGGGGCGCUAAUACCGCAUACGUCCUUAGGGUGAAAGUGAGGGAUCUUCGGACCUCACGCUAUCAGCUGAGCCUAGGUCGGAUUAGCUAGUUGGUUGGGUAAAGGCUUACCAAGGCGACGAUCCGUAACUGGUCUGAGAGGAUGAUCAGUCACACUGGAACUGAGACACGGUCCAGACUCCUACGGGAGGCAGCAGUAGGGAAUAUUGGACAAUGGGCGAAAGCCUGAUGGAGCAAUGCCGCGUGUGUGAAGAAGGUCUUCGGAUUGUAAAGCACUUUAAGUUGGGAGGAAGGACAGUGAGUUAAUACAUUGCUGUCUUGACGUUACCAAAAGAAUAAGCCCCGGCUAACUUCGUG